UACGGGGGGGGUAAGCGUUGUUCGGAAUUACUGGGCGUAAAGGGCUCGUAGGCGGCCAACUAAGUCGGACGUGAAAUCCCUCGGCUUAACCGGGGAACUGCGUCUGAUACUGGAUGGCUUGAGUUUGGGAGAGGGAUGCGGAAUUCCAGGUGUAGCGGUGAAAUGCGUAGAUAUCUGGAGGAACACCGGUGGCGAAGGCGGCAUCCUGGACCAAUACUGACGCUGAGGAGCGAAAGCCAGGGGAGCAAACGGG
This 253-nucleotide ribosomal RNA is filed under the name uncultured bacterium. Its description in RNAcentral is "partial 16S ribosomal RNA". It matches the Rfam family "Bacterial small subunit ribosomal RNA", at positions 524 to 776 of the family's 1533-position model. The record is from RNAcentral.